Molecule: ribosomal RNA, 183 nt
Filed under: uncultured Enterobacterales bacterium
Lineage: Bacteria; Pseudomonadati; Pseudomonadota; Gammaproteobacteria; Enterobacterales
Description: partial 16S ribosomal RNA
Rfam family: Bacterial small subunit ribosomal RNA
Source: RNAcentral
CUAGGAAACGGUAGCUAAUACCGCAUAACGUCGCAAGACCAAAGAGGGGGACCUUCGGGCCUCUUGCCAUCAGAUGUGCCCAGAUGGGAUUAGCUAGUAGGUGGGGUAACGGCUCACCUAGGCGACGAUCCCUAGCUGGUCUGAGAGGAUGACCAGCCACACUGGAACUGAGACACGGUCCAG